AUUGAACGCUAGCGGGAUGCUUUACACAUGCAAGUCGAACGAGGGGCGGACGGGUGAGCAACAUAUCGGAACGUGCUCAGUAGCGGGGGAUAACUACUCGAAAGAGUGGCUAAUACCGCACACCAUUGGAGCGGCCGAUAUCGGAUUAGGUAGUUGGGGGGGUAAAGGUUCACCAAGGCAACGAUCCGUAGCUGGUUGGAGAGGACGACCAGCCACACUGGGACUGAGACACGGCCCAGAGUCCUACGGGAGGCAGCAGUGGGGAAUGUUGGACAAUGGGGGAAACCCUGAUCCAGCCAUCCCGCGUGUGUGAGAAGGCCUUCGGUUUGUAAAGUACGUUUUGCAGAGAAGCGGUAUCUGCAGAAUAAGCACCGGCUAACUACGUGCCAGCAGCCGCGGUAAUUC
Molecule: ribosomal RNA, 405 nt
Filed under: uncultured bacterium
Lineage: Bacteria
Description: partial 16S ribosomal RNA
Rfam family: Bacterial small subunit ribosomal RNA
Source: RNAcentral